GUUUUAUGAGACAAACCCAGCUGAUGAAGAAUGCAAAGUCUUUGAAUAGAAUAGCAGCUUUGGUUAUUAUCGCUGCCACCAGACCAUAUAUUUUGAAUUUGUGUUAAUUUAAUUUAUGAGGGAGAACAAGAACAAAGUGUUCAGACGACAAUAGGUGAGGAUCAUGUCUGGGGCAUGUCUCCUAAAAUUUAAAUGUGUAUGCUAUUUGUCCUUGCCAGGCAGACUUUUCAGAAUUCAUUUGGUUCUAUGAUUUUGUUUUCUUCAUGUGUCGUGAGAAUGGUCAAAAGAAUAUUUCUGUAAGCAGGGCAGUAACUGCUUGGAAAUUAGUUCUUGCUGGGAAUGAACAAGGGAAUGAACACUGAUACAAUUGUUAAGGCCAAGAGUUUUCUUGAUGGUGAUGAAGAUCAGUAUGAAAAAGAUGUGUUUGAGAAGAAUUUGAAGGUGCUUCAGAAUAUUUUUUAGUCAUUAUGCCGAGAUUAGAAGAUUAAUGAUUUUUUGUUUGUUAAGUUCUUUUCGGAUAUAGAGUGCAAACUUUGCAUUUUAAUUGAUAUGUGAUACAAGUUUCAUGUGACUUAAAUUAUCUCUUUUUAA
Arachis ipaensis is the source of this 591-nucleotide non-coding RNA. The record is from RefSeq and is a predicted model, not a curated record. NCBI's taxonomy places the organism in Eukaryota, Viridiplantae, Streptophyta, Magnoliopsida, Fabales, Fabaceae.